RNAcentral lists this ribosomal RNA (388 nucleotides) under uncultured bacterium. Its description in RNAcentral is "bacterial SSU rRNA". It matches the Rfam family "Bacterial small subunit ribosomal RNA", at positions 29 to 417 of the family's 1533-position model. The record is from RNAcentral.
AUUGAACGCUGGCGGCAUGCUUUACACAUGCAAGUCGAGCGGCAGCGCGGGGGCAACCCUGGCGGCGAGCGGCGAACGGGUGAGUAACACAUCGGAACGUACCUGGUUGUGGGGGAUAACCUACCGAAAGGUAGGCUAAUACCGCAUGAGCUCGGGAGAGGAAAGCGGGGGACCUGAGAGGGCCUCGCGCGACUGGAGCGGCCGAUGUCCGAUUAGCUAGUUGGUGGGGUAAAGGCUACCAAGGCGACGAUCGGUAGCUGGUCUGAGAGGAUGAUCAGCCACACUGGGACUGAGACACGGCCCAGACUCCUACGGGAGGCAGCAGUGGGGAAUUUUGGACAAUGGGGGCAACCCUGAUCCAGCCAUGCCGCGUGAGUGAAGAAGGCCU